AAUACUCGCUGUUAGCGAUACACAGUUAGCGGCUAAGCGAAAGCGUUAAGUAUUCCACCUGGGGAGUACGCCCGCAAGGGUGAAACUCAAAGGAAUUGACGGGGGCCCGCACAAGCGGAGGAGCAUGUGGUUUAAUUCGAUGAUACGCGAGGAACCUUACCCGGGCUUGAAAGUUAGUGAAUGAUUUAGAGAUAGAUCAGUGAGCAAUCACACGAAACUAGGUGCUGCAUGGCUGUCGUCAGCUCGUGCCGUGAGGUGUUGGGUUAAGUCCCGCAACGAGCGCAACCCCUAUGUUUAGUUGCCAGCACGUUAAGGUGGGGACUCUAAACAGACUGCCUGUGCAAACAGAGAGGAAGGAGGGGACGACGUCAAGUCAUCAUGGCCCUUACGUCCGGGGCUACACACGUGCUACAAUGGAUGGUACAGAGGGCAGCAAGCUGGCAACAGCAAGCAAAUCUCAAAGAGCCAUUCACAGUUCGGAUAGAGGUCUGCAACUCGACCUCUUGAAGUUGGAUUCGCUAGUAAUCGCGUAUCAGCAAUGACGCGGUGAAUACGUUCCCGGGCCUUGUACACACCGCCCGUCAAGCCAUGGAAGUUGGGGGUACCUAAAGUAUGUAACCGCAAGGAGCGUCCUAGGGUAAAA
This 643-nucleotide ribosomal RNA is filed under the name uncultured Pedobacter sp. RNAcentral describes it as "bacterial SSU rRNA". It matches the Rfam family "Bacterial small subunit ribosomal RNA", at positions 812 to 1467 of the family's 1533-position model. Lineage: Bacteria; Pseudomonadati; Bacteroidota; Sphingobacteriia; Sphingobacteriales; Sphingobacteriaceae. The record is from RNAcentral.